RNAcentral lists this ribosomal RNA (432 nucleotides) under uncultured bacterium. RNAcentral's name for it is "partial 16S ribosomal RNA". It matches the Rfam family "Bacterial small subunit ribosomal RNA", at positions 29 to 506 of the family's 1533-position model. The record is from RNAcentral.
AACGAACGCUGGCGGCAUGCCUAACACAUGCAAGUCGAACGAGACCUUCGGGUCUAGUGGCGCACGGGUGCGUAACGCGUGGGAACCUGCCCUUAGGUUCGGAAUAACUCCCCGAAAGGGGUGCUAAUACCGGAUAAUGUCUUCGGACCAAAGAUUUAUCGCCUUUGGAUGGGCCCGCGUUGGAUUAGCUAGUUGGUAGGGUAAAAGCCUACCAAGGCGACGAUCCAUAGCUGGUCUGAGAGGAUGAUCAGCCACACUGGGACUGAGACACGGCCCAGACUCCUACGGGAGGCAGCAGUGGGGAAUAUUGGACAAUGGGCGAAAGCCUGAUCCAGCAAUGCCGCGUGAGUGAUGAAGGCCUUAGGGUUGUAAAGCUCUUUUACCCGGGAUGAUAAUGACAGUACCGGGAGAAUAAGCUCCGGCUAACUCCUU